AGGUCAGGAUUGAACCCAUGUCUCUGGUGCUGUGAGGCAGCAGCUCUACCCGCUGCACCACUGUGCCACCCAACAUGGCCCUGGUAUUUAGAAGCUUAUUAAAAUGAUGCCGACCCAUACUGCUUAUAACAGGCCAGGUCUGACACAGUUUCCACAGAGACAACAAAUAACAGAAGUACUCCUUUAAUAGUUGGUUUAAACAGAGAGUAGCGCACAGAAAAUGUCCACUCAGCCCCUCUCUUGCAUGCUGGUGUUUAAGCCUCACAUUGAGUCCCAUCCCACCCCUCCAUCUCUUUCCCAUCACCAUCAUCAGCUCAGUCAGCUCCCAUUAAAUUCAUACGUAAGAUUUAAAGGGGAACUGGGAGAGCAACCUUUUCAUACGGAGGCACAGGUACUAGUAGACGAGGUACAAUUAGGACAUUUAAAAGACUUUUGGAUGUGUGCAUGGAGGGAUAUGGGCCAUAUGGGACUAGCUCAGAAAGACAACUUGCCUGGCAUGAACAAGUUUGGCCGAAGGGUUUCCUGAAAUGCCACCUAACCUUUUUCUCCAGAGAUGUUGUCUGACCCAUUGAAUUACUCCAGCACUUUGUGUCUGUCUAUGGCCGAAGGGCCUAAUUCCAUGCUGUGUAGUUCUAUGACUCUAUAUAUUCACUCUGUUUAUUGUGAGUUUAAUUUCUCUGUGGGAAGAAAGGUUUUUUUUUCUGAACUCCCUCUGCGUUUCCCAGUAACUAAUUCUACAUCGAGUCUUAAUCUUCCCAGUAGAAACACUGGUGACGUCUAUCCAGUUUUAGGUGGGCAUCAGUCUUCCCUGCAGGAAAUAAACCAGCUUCUUGGAUUUGGGAUCAAGUUUGCAGGUCCUCCUCACCCUUUCAGAAACAUGUACAUAAGCAAAACCAAGGCUGAUGCCAGCAAAAGGAAAUGGAAUCCACACAGUAUUGGACAUCCUUCACCCUUGCCUCAUCUCCUCCCCUGUAAAAACAUCUCAAGACAUCACGGGAUGUGACCAGGAGACUUGGCAAGGCACUAAGUUACCCGCUUAAGAGCCAUGACCUACGUUCUCUGCCUGUAACAGAGGUCGUAGGGUGGAGUGAAGAGGGCAAAGUUCGAAGAGGCAACACAACACCCUUGAGGGCCAAAGGAAUCUACGAUGCACCCACGUCAAUCACCAUCAUUACUGGAUGAGAAUCGAAAGAAAACAGAAACAACUGGUUUCCCCGGCAAUAUACUUCGUUUUUAUCAGGGAGAGAAAAAAAAUGUACAUUUAAAUUUUAAAACGAAAAUAGCCCACCUUCUGUGAAUUGUGGUGAUCUUCCCCUUAAAAGGUUUUUUUUUUUAACGGCA
This is a long non-coding RNA of Amblyraja radiata (thorny skate), 1341 nucleotides long. RefSeq lists it as uncharacterized. Lineage: Eukaryota; Metazoa; Chordata; Chondrichthyes; Rajiformes; Rajidae. The transcript is spliced from 2 exons. The record is from RefSeq and is a predicted model, not a curated record.